Molecule: ribosomal RNA, 370 nt
Filed under: uncultured bacterium
Lineage: Bacteria
Description: bacterial SSU rRNA
Rfam family: Bacterial small subunit ribosomal RNA
Source: RNAcentral
AGAGUUUGAUCCUGGCUCAGAUUGAACGCUGGCGGCAUGCCUUACACAUGCAAGUCGAACGGCAGCACGGGAGCAAUCCUGGUGGCGAGUGGCGAACGGGUGAGUAAUAUAUCGGAACGUACCUUUCAGUGGGGGAUAACGUAGCGAAGGUUACGCUAAUACCGCAUAUUCUGUGAGCAGGAAAGCAGGGGAUCGCAAGACCUUGCGCUGAUUGAGCGGCCGAUAUCAGAUUAGCUAGUUGGUGAGGUAAAGGCUCACCAAGGCGACGAUCUGUAGCGGGUCUGAGAGGAUGAUCCGCCACACUGGAACUGAGACACGGUCCAGACUCCUACGGGAGGCAGCAGUGGGGAAUUUUGGACAAUGGGGGCAA